GUAACAAGGUUUCCGUAGGUGAACCUGCGGAAGGAUCAUUACCGAGUGCGGGUCCUUUGGGCCCAACCUCCCAUCCGUGUCUAUUGUACCCUGUUGCUUCGGCGGGCCCGCCGCUUGUCGGCCGCCGGGGGGGCGCCUCUGCCCCCCGGGCCCGUGCCCGCCGGAGACCCCAACACGAACACUGUCUGAAAGCGUGCAGUCUGAGUUGAUUGAAUGCAAUCAGUUAAAACUUUCAACAAUGGAUCUCUUGGUUCCGGCAUCGAUGAAGAACGCAGCGAAAUGCGAUAACUAAUGUGAAUUGCAGAAUUCAGUGAAUCAUCGAGUCUUUGAACGCACAUUGCGCCCCCUGGUAUUCCGGGGGGCAUGCCUGUCCGAGCGUCAUUGCUGCCCUCAAGCCCGGCUUGUGUGUUGGGUCGCCGUCCCCCUCUCCGGGGGGACGGGCCCGAAAGGCAGCGGCGGCACCGCGUCCGAUCCUCGAGCGUAUGGGGCUUUGUCACAUGCUCUGUAGGAUUGGCCGGCGCCUGCCGACGUUUUCCAACCAUUCUUUCCAGGUUGACCUCGGAUCAGGUAGGGAUACCCGCUGAACUUAAGCAUAUC
This 597-nucleotide unclassified non-coding RNA is filed under the name Aspergillus welwitschiae. RNAcentral describes it as "sequence contains 18S rRNA gene, ITS1, 5.8S rRNA gene, ITS2, 28S rRNA gene". The stretch from base 228 to 381 matches the Rfam family "5.8S ribosomal RNA". Lineage: Eukaryota; Fungi; Ascomycota; Eurotiomycetes; Eurotiales; Aspergillaceae. The record is from RNAcentral.